Molecule: long non-coding RNA, 222 nt
Organism: Corvus hawaiiensis (hawaiian crow)
Lineage: Eukaryota; Metazoa; Chordata; Aves; Passeriformes; Corvidae
Exons: 3
Source: RefSeq, a predicted model, not a curated record
AUCAUGACCACCAUAACCAUCAGAACCCUUGGCGCAGAAAUAGGUGGCGGAAUCCUCGUCCCUGAGGCUGUUCAUGGUCAGCGUCAGCGAGCUCUGCCCGUUGUCCCUGGAGAUCGUGAACCGGCCCUUGACCGACGACGCGUAGUAGGUGCUGCUGCCAUCGCUGUUGAUACUCGCGAGCCAUUCCAGCCCCUGCCCGGGUUUCUGGCGGAUCCAGCUCAU